AUGGUCUCCCCCGGCAAACGAAUUCCUGAAAGAGCAGGAAAGCUGGAAUAUGUAUCAAGUGCUCUCCAUGCUGAAGCUUUAGCCAUGGUGUAUGCAAUCAAUGCAACGUCAAGCAUGGGAGCCAAUCGUGUAAUUUUUGAAAUGGACUCGACGGAGUUGAAGCAGUCUAUAACAAGUCAGGAGUAUGAUAGAUCAGCUCUAGGUUCUUUGUUUCAGGAGAUUAAACUCCAACUUAAUGUAGCUUUUGAUGAUGUUAAGCUGAAUGUAUGUCCUAGAGCAUGUAAUAAUGCAGCACACACUAUAGCUGCAUAUGGUCAUGGUCUAGGGAGUGGCGUAUGUGAGACAUGGUUAGGCCACUUCCCUGUGUUUGUACUGAACUCUGUUGCUGGCAAUUUAGCCAGUUUGUCAUCGUAA
RNAcentral lists this ribosomal RNA (414 nucleotides) under Triticum aestivum (bread wheat). RNAcentral describes it as "partial small subunit ribosomal RNA". Lineage: Eukaryota; Viridiplantae; Streptophyta; Magnoliopsida; Poales; Poaceae. The record is from RNAcentral.